UACGUAGGCAGCAAGCGUUGUUCGGAUUUACUGGGCGUAAAGAGUGCGUAGGCGGUCCUGUAAGUUUGGUGUGAAAUCUCCCGGCUCAACUGGGAGGGUGCGCCGAAGACUGCAGGGCUUGAGUAUGGGAGAGGUAAGCGGAAUUCCUGGUGUAGCGGUGAAAUGCGUAGAUAUCAGGAGGAACACCUGUGGUGUAGACAGCUUACUGGACCAUAACUGACGCUGAGGCACGAAAGCGUGGGUAGCAAACAGG
This 253-nucleotide ribosomal RNA is filed under the name uncultured bacterium. RNAcentral's name for it is "partial 16S ribosomal RNA". It matches the Rfam family "Bacterial small subunit ribosomal RNA", at positions 524 to 776 of the family's 1533-position model. The record is from RNAcentral.